GAAUUCCACUAGGGGCGCCCGCAAGGGCUGAGAUAAGGCGUAGCCUUGGUCCCUUUGAACCUGAUCUGGGUUAUGCCAGCGUAGGAAAGUGGUCUUGUGCGCGU
This 104-nucleotide non-coding RNA is filed under the name Paenibacillus sp. Its description in RNAcentral is "TPP sequence". It matches the Rfam family "TPP riboswitch aptamer (THI element)". From Rfam's summary of the family: Vitamin B(1) in its active form thiamin pyrophosphate (TPP) is an essential coenzyme that is synthesised by coupling of pyrimidine and thiazole moieties in bacteria. The previously detected thiamin-regulatory element, thi box was extended, resulting in a new, highly conserved RNA secondary structure, the THI element, which is widely distributed in eubacteria and also occurs in some archaea. The record is from RNAcentral. Lineage: Bacteria; Bacillati; Bacillota; Bacilli; Caryophanales; Paenibacillaceae.